This is a long non-coding RNA of Fukomys damarensis (Damara mole-rat), 237 nucleotides long. RefSeq lists it as uncharacterized. The transcript is spliced from 3 exons. NCBI's taxonomy places the organism in Eukaryota, Metazoa, Chordata, Mammalia, Rodentia, Bathyergidae. The record is from RefSeq and is a predicted model, not a curated record.
AAUUAAGAAGCAAGACAUUGGGAGAAGAUAUUUAUUCCAUGUACCACAGAAAGGAAUCUGUCAGAUAUCAGCUACUAGCAAAUUGCUCAGCCUCAGAUGCCUUAGAUGCAUUCCCUCAGUGAUCAAGCAACUCGGAAGAAGUUCAGACCAGCGAUUUGAGGAGAAUUAGAAACAUGAGCUUACUGCCGAAGGAAAAGACUCAACCCUGAGAAUAGGGUUCAUUGCUAGAAACAGAAG